RNAcentral lists this unclassified non-coding RNA (239 nucleotides) under fungal sp. RNAcentral's name for it is "partial contains 5.8S ribosomal RNA, internal transcribed spacer 2, and large subunit ribosomal RNA". Lineage: Eukaryota; Fungi. The record is from RNAcentral.
CGCACAUUGCGCCCCUUGGUAUUCCGAGGGGCAUGCCUGUUCGAGCGUCAUUUAAACUAUCAAGCACAGCUUGGCUUUGGACAUCGGUGCUAAUACCGGUCUAAAACUCUCGUGGCGGUGCCGUCCGGCUUCGAGCGUAGCAAGAAUCUUCCCUCGCUCCAGAGGCUACGGCGGGACUGCCAGUUAACUUCUACCUAGAGUUUGACCUCGGAUCAGGUAGGGAUACCCGCUGAACUUAA